UCCAGGGAUCGAACCCAGGUCUCCUGCAAUGCAGGCGGAUUCUUUACCAGCUGAGCCACAAGGGAAACCACUUUGUUUUCAAAGUGGUGUGUAUUUCUGUGAACAUGUGUCAGAGACACGCGGCAUAUCAGCAUAGAGAAAUGUUUGACCAGAACCCCAAACAAGGUUGAGCUUUUUCUUACACAGCAAUCUAACCGCAGCACUACUGUGUACGUAUCCUCCCUGGCACUUUGUGGGGAAGCCCCUGGCUGCACAAAAUGUCCAUGUUUUAGGAAUCAGUGACCCUCAAGGAUAUCGCUGUAGACUUCACCCAGGAAGAAUGGGCCCUGUUGGACACCUCUCAGAAAAAGCUGUUCAGAGAAGUGAUGCUGGAGAGCCUUAGUCAUCUGGUCUCUGUGGGGUAUAAACUCAGCAAAUCAGAUGUGAUUUCCCAGCUGGCGCAGGGAGCGGAGCUGUGUAAGGAAGAGAAAGGAUUUCCCCAGUGCCCGAGUUCAGACAAGAAAAGUGAUCCUGUGAGACAAGAAAAAAUAUCCCUGCAAGAUACCUACAGGGAAGACCUAUCUAACUGUGAAUGACAUGACUGUAGUGGACAUGCCAUCGAAUCCUGAGGGCUCUCACUGCCUGGGGGCUGCAAGAGGAAAUUGACUUUGUUUUCAUCUCAAUCGUGUUUGAUUUAUAACACUAAUUAAAAGUUUUUAAAAUGUGAAAAUCCCUAAGAAAUAGUCUUUAUUCAAUGCAGUAGAACCUGAAUAUAACUAUAGUUCUCAGUCAACUCAAAGAUGCUUUUUGGAAGGUUCCAUACGCGUGUGAUCAUGAAUCACCAGUUGGUAACCUUUCUCUGGGCUAGUUUUCCCUAAAGGACAGAUUUGUUUUCAGGAACUAAUAAACUGAAUAAGGCAUACCUUUGAAUAUUAAAUGUGGUAGUGAUAUUAAUCUUCUGA
Molecule: non-coding RNA, 941 nt
Organism: Odocoileus virginianus texanus
Lineage: Eukaryota; Metazoa; Chordata; Mammalia; Artiodactyla; Cervidae
Source: RefSeq, a predicted model, not a curated record